UUAACUCCCUAUAAAAUGCUACAACGUAAUCCUAGGCAGGUGCUCAGAUUGUCUUUGAAAUUUUCCGUAGUGAGAGAACAAGAUAAGACUGUGAGAAGCCUCCUUCUUCUACCAGCCCCAGAUAUGGCAUCGGUGCAUAGUGCCCUGACACCGGUUGUGUGCAAGAAUGGCAGUCAUUCUUCUGCAGCAAAGUUCCCGACGACUACCUUCUUGCCCGGGUUUGAUGCAGUUGGGCGUCUUUCAAGUCCGUUUAAGAAGGAAGUGUGCCUUAGUUCCCCGAGCUCAGGUGCUAAAGCUACACUAACCUUUGAUCCCCCAGCAACCAAUUCUGAGAAACCCAAACUACCAAGGCAUACAGUUGAUCCCGCUUCUCCAGAUUUUCUGCCUCUUCCAUCUUUCGAACAAUGUUUUCCCAAGAGCACAAAAGAACACAUGGAAGUUGUUCAUGAAGAAACUGGUCAUGUGCUAAAAGUUCCCUUUCGACGAGUCCACCUGGCUGGGGAUGAACCUCCAUUUGACAACUAUGAUACCAGUGGUCCACAAAACAUUAGCCCGCGUGUUGGACUCCCUGAACUGCGGAAAGAUUGGAUUGAGAGGCGAGACAAAUUAGGUGCACCAAGAUACACUCAGAUGUACUAUGCUAAGCAGGGAAUUAUAACUGAGGAGAUGUUGUACUGCGCCACUCGUGAGAAGCUUGAUCCAGAGUUUGUGAGAUCAGAAGUAGCUCGUGGGCGGGCAAUUAUCCCUUCCAAUAAGAAACACUUGGAGCUGGAGCCAAUGAUUGUCGGAAGAAAAUUUUUGGUCAAAGUUAAUGCAAACAUUGGAAAUUCUGCUGUUGCCAGCUCUAUCGAAGAGGAAGUUUACAAGGUCCAAUGGGCAACUAUGUGGGGUGCUGACACUGUUAUGGACCUCUCUACAGGACGCCACAUCCAUGAGACCCGUGAAUGGAUCCUGCGUAACUCUCCUGUGCCAGUAGGGACCGUACCCAUUUAUCAAGCGCUUGAAAAAGUGGACGGAAUUGCAGAAAACCUUAACUGGGAAGUGUUCAGAGAAACUCUUAUUGAACAAGCCGAGCAGGGUGUAGAUUACUUCACCAUCCAUGCUGGGGUUCUACUACGGUACAUCCCACUAACAGCAAAGCGUAUGACUGGUAUUGUUUCACGAGGAGGAUCCAUUCAUGCAAAGUGGUGCUUAGCUUAUCACAAAGAGAAUUUCGCUUACGAGCACUGGGAUGACAUACUUGACAUCUGCAAUCAAUAUGAUGUGGCCCUGUCAAUUGGUGACGGGCUGAGACCUGGUUCCAUUUAUGAUGCCAACGACACUGCACAGUUCGCAGAACUCUUAACUCAGGGCGAACUGACCCGUAGGGCAUGGGAAAAGGAUGUUCAGGUCAUGAAUGAAGGACCUGGACAUGUUCCAAUGCAUAAAAUUCCUGAAAACAUGAAAAAACAGCUUGAAUGGUGUAACGAAGCGCCUUUCUACACUCUUGGUCCUCUAACAACUGAUAUUGCUCCAGGAUAUGAUCACAUCACCUCUGCCAUUGGUGCUGCCAACAUUGGGGCUCUAGGCACCGCCCUUCUCUGUUAUGUAACCCCAAAAGAGCACCUUGGGUUGCCAAACCGUGAUGAUGUGAAGGCUGGAGUUAUAGCAUAUAAGAUAGCUGCUCAUGCCGCUGAUCUAGCCAAAGGUCACCCAUAUGCUCAAGCCUGGGAUGAUGCACUGAGCAAGGCAAGAUUUGAGUUCCGGUGGAUGGACCAGUUCGCCUUGUCACUAGACCCUAUGACUGCCAUGUCAUUCCAUGAUGAAACCCUGCCAGCUGAUGGUGCCAAGGUGGCCCAUUUUUGCUCAAUGUGCGGUCCAAAGUUCUGUUCUAUGAAGAUAACGGAGGACGUGAGGAAGUACGCUGAAGAGCAUGGUUACGGGAGUGCUGAGGAAGCUGUGAUUCGUGGAAUGGAUGCUAUGAGUGCUGAGUUUCUUGCUGCCAAGAAAACUGUCAGUGGAGAACAACAUGGUGAAGUUGGGGGGGAAAUUUACUUGCCAGAAAGUUAUGUGAAAGCCGCAGAGAGGUCCACAGAGAGGUGAAGUUGCAGGUUUGCGUGAAUAACCAGAAUCAGUUUGACGACUCUGGAGGCUUGCGUGCAUGAUUGGCUUGUGCACAACGGAGGUCUUAGGGGUGCCUGUAUCUGCUCCAGCACUGGCCUCGUGGUUAGUAUGUGAGCAGGUCGGGCUGAGAUAGUCCCUUUGAACCUGAACAGGUUAAUGCCUGCGUAGGGAGUGUGCAUCUCUUUUUCCUGUUUCUGUGCUUGCACAGGGAAGGAGAGCCUUCGUCCACGGUUCAGGCUAGCUGAUGGGCAUCAUUGCCGGUCCGAUCAGUCUGCACGGCUGGGAGUAACUGCGUGGCAAUUCUAUGGUACAAACCGGAAACUAAUGCUUAUAACUCACCAGCUUCACUACAUAGCAUCACACUGAACAUUAUCAUUUUGUUCUCUCGUCUUUUGCAACUGGUUUCGUCCUCCCAAAACUCAUUUUUCGAGCUCGGAGCUGGUAAAAACGGAAAGGUAUGCACACAAUUAAGUGCAAAAACAUGCACAAAUCUCGGUUCAUUUUGCUCCGAAUUUGUAGUUUCUAAAACUGUAACCACUCGAGCAUCACUCGAGGCUAUAUUUCUAAAUCUUGAAGAAAAAUGACUCGAGUCUUUCAUGCGUUA
Malus domestica (apple) is the source of this 2707-nucleotide non-coding RNA. The record is from RefSeq and is a predicted model, not a curated record. Lineage: Eukaryota; Viridiplantae; Streptophyta; Magnoliopsida; Rosales; Rosaceae.